RNAcentral lists this ribosomal RNA (108 nucleotides) under Bacteroides fragilis. RNAcentral also lists the same sequence under 1 other name. Lineage: Bacteria; Pseudomonadati; Bacteroidota; Bacteroidia; Bacteroidales; Bacteroidaceae. The record is from RNAcentral.
GGUGACUAUAGCAUCAGGGUUCCACCUCUUCCCAUUCCGAACAGAGAAGUUAAGCCUGAUCACGCCGAUGGUACUGCGUAAUAGUGGGAGAGUAGGUAGUCGCCGUUU